RNAcentral lists this ribosomal RNA (497 nucleotides) under uncultured bacterium. Its description in RNAcentral is "partial 16S ribosomal RNA". It matches the Rfam family "Bacterial small subunit ribosomal RNA", at positions 28 to 507 of the family's 1533-position model. The record is from RNAcentral.
GAUGAACGCUGGCGGCGUGCCUAAUACAUGCAAGUCGAGCGAACGGACGAGAAGCUUGCUUCUCUGAUGUUAGCGGCGGACGGGUGAGUAACACGUGGAUAACCUACCUAUAAGACUGGGAUAACUUCGGGAAACCGGAGCUAAUACCGGAUGAUAUUUUGAACCGCAUGGUUCAAAAGUGAAAGACGGUCUUGCUGUAACUUAUAGAUGUAUCCGCGCUGCAUUAGCUAGUUGGUAAGGUAACGGCUUACCAAGGCAACGAUGCAUAGCCGACCUGAGAGGGUGAUCGGCCACACUGGAACUGAGACACGGUCCAGACUCCUACGGGAGGCAGCAGUAGGGAAUCUUCCGCAAUGGGCGAAAGCCUGACGGAGCAACGCCGCGUGAGUGAUGAAGGUCUUCGGAUCGUAAAACUCUGUUAUUAGGGAAGAACAUAUGUGUAAGUAACUGUGCACAUCUUGACGGUACCUAAUCAGAAAGCCACGGCUAACUACGUG